Molecule: ribosomal RNA, 550 nt
Filed under: uncultured bacterium
Lineage: Bacteria
Description: bacterial SSU rRNA
Rfam family: Bacterial small subunit ribosomal RNA
Source: RNAcentral
UAGGGAAUCUUCCGCAAUGGACGCAAGUCUGACGGAGCAACGCCGCGUGAGUGAAGAAGGUUUUCGGAUCGUAAAACUCUGUUGUUAGAGAAGAACAAGCGCUAGAGUAACUGUUAGCGCCUUGACGGUAUCUAACCAGAAAGCCACGGCUAACUACGUGCCAGCAGCCGCGGUAAUACGUAGGUGGCAAGCGUUGUCCGGAUUUAUUGGGCGUAAAGCGAGCGCAGGCGGUUCCUUAAGUCUGAUGUGAAAGCCCCCGGCUCAACCGGGGAGGGUCAUUGGAAACUGGGGAACUUGAGUGCAGAAGAGGAGAGUGGAAUUCCAUGUGUAGCGGUGAAAUGCGUAGAUAUAUGGAGGAACACCAGUGGCGAAGGCGACUCUCUGGUCUGUAACUGACGCUGAGGCUCGAAAGCGUGGGUAGCAAACAGGAUUAGAUACCCUGGUAGUCCACGCCGUAAACGAUGAGUGCUAAGUGUUGGAGGGUUUCCGCCCUUCAGUGCUGCAGUUAACGCAUUAAGCACUCCGCCUGGGGAGUACGACCGCAAGGUUG